RNAcentral lists this ribosomal RNA (609 nucleotides) under uncultured bacterium. RNAcentral describes it as "bacterial SSU rRNA". It matches the Rfam family "Bacterial small subunit ribosomal RNA", at positions 338 to 943 of the family's 1533-position model. The record is from RNAcentral.
CCUACGGGAGGCAGCAGUGGGGAAUUUUGGACAAUGGGCGAAAGCCUGAUCCAGCAAUGCCGCGUGAGUGAAGAAGGCCUUCGGGUUGUAAAGCUCUUUUGUCAGGGAAGAAACGGUGGGAGCUAAUAUCUCUUGCUAAUGACGGUACCUGAAGAAUAAGCACCGGCUAACUACGUGCCAGCAGCCGCGGUAAUACGUAGGGUGCAAGCGUUAAUCGGAAUUACUGGGCGUAAAGCGUGCGCAGGCGGUUUUGUAAGUCUGAUGUGAAAUCCCCGGGCUCAACCUGGGAAUUGCAUUGGAGACUGCAAGGCUAGAAUCUGGCAGAGGGGGGUUAGAAUUCCACGUGUAGCAGUGAAAUGCGUAGAUAUGUGGAGGAACACCGAUGGCGAAGGCAGCCCCCUGGGUCAAGAUUGACGCUCAUGCACGAAAGCGUGGGGAGCAAACAGGAUUAGAUACCCUGGUAGUCCACGCCCUAAACGAUGUCUACUAGUUGUCGGGUCUUAAUUGACUUGGUAACGCAGCUAACGCGUGAAGUAGACCGCCUGGGGAAGUCGGUGCAGNUUAAACCGUAAUGAAUUGNGNGNGNGAGNGCGAGNGACAGAGGNGGAG